GUGAGGCGGAGCAAACACAAACACAGUCUCAGUUCAGAUUGUAGGCUGAAACUCGCCUAUAUGAAGUCGGAAUUGCUAGUAAUCGCGGAUCAGCAUGCCGCGGUGAAUACGUUCCCGGGCCUUGUACACACCGCCCGUCACACCAUGAGAGUCGAUAACACCCGAAGCCUGUAGUCUAACAGCAAUGAGGACGCAGUCGAAGGUGGGAUUGAUAAUUAGGGUGAAGUCGUAACAAGGUAAC
RNAcentral lists this ribosomal RNA (241 nucleotides) under uncultured bacterium. RNAcentral's name for it is "partial 16S ribosomal RNA". It matches the Rfam family "Bacterial small subunit ribosomal RNA", at positions 1257 to 1500 of the family's 1533-position model. The record is from RNAcentral.